Magnolia sinica is the source of this 452-nucleotide long non-coding RNA. RefSeq lists it as uncharacterized. The record is from RefSeq and is a predicted model, not a curated record. The transcript has 4 exons. NCBI's taxonomy places the organism in Eukaryota, Viridiplantae, Streptophyta, Magnoliopsida, Magnoliales, Magnoliaceae.
AUAUUCUUUCCUUUCCUGUCGAUGAUUUUAAAUGUUUGGUUCGAGCAGUUACGGGGACCAAACCAGAUGAAAAGGUAGGCUGAAGUGUUAAUUUUGAAAAUUGCAAGUUGUACUGAAAUGAGUGUGUUGUGAUUUCCUUCCAUCUUGUUGAUGAUUAUCACAUCCUGUUUAGAUGAUUGAUCUCUUGAUAGAGACUGGAAACAGUGAGCAUAUCUUCCACAAGGAAAUUUGGGAAAUGGGGUGAGGACAGGUGAAGCUCCUGCUUUGAAUUGUGCUUCAUACUAGUUGCCGUGAAGAGUGGUCAGUUCAUUGUAGAAGUCAAGCCUCAUGUUUUGGAUGUUUUACUCUCCGAGUACGAAACGUCAUCUCAUGGGCCAGGAAAAUGGCAGAAUUUGGCCACUUUUCUACAUCAAAGCUUGGAGGGGCCAAUAUUCGACCUAAUCAAGAAGCAG